UGGACAGUCGCAUUUCAGCUUUUUCUUCAAUUAGGGCACACAGAGAUCGCAAACUGAAUUUCUCUUCGGCAAUUGCAAUCAGAUAACGGGAAUUUCUUUGCUGCGUUACUCUUGCAACGAUAUUCCAACUGAUGACCAAAGGGGCUGCUUGAAGGAGUUUAUGGAUUGGGUUCUGAUAUUCAGAGAACCACCAAACCAUCAUCUGGUGCCUAAUAUCACCAUCAUAGUCCAAAUUGGUCUCUGAAGCAUUUCCAGACUGCUUUGCUGAUGUUGCUAUCAAUGAAAAUAUGAUGCUUAUCUUCAUUCAUUGGUUUCAUGCAACAAGCACAUUUUGAUGGAAAAUGAAUUUCCAUCUUUCUGAUAUUAUCAUUUGUGGGUAGUUUGUCUCUCAAAAGUUUUCAAUCGAAAAUAGAGAUUUUGAAAGGAAUAGCGUUAUGCCAUAAGAACUUAUUCACAAAAGAAAUCCCUUGUCUUUGUCUCAGGCUAUUCCAGGCUGAGAAGCAUAUGAGCUGACCAUUAGUUGAGCCAGUCCAUAUUGCUUGGUCUUGUACAUUUGAGUUACCUAUUUUGAUACCUCUAAUAUGUUCAACCAAGUAGCCUAGAAUAGCUUGAGACAAUUUAGGAAUAUUCCUGGAAUUAUUAACAAUAAAGUUACAUACCUUAUCCUUAUUAUAAAUGGAACAGCUGCAAAAGUUGGAUAAAGGAUCCAAACCUGUCCAGUUGUCCCAGUAGAAAGAAGAAUUUCCUCCUUGGAUCCUCCAUGUUAUAUGUGGUUCUACUUCUGUUAAAUGAAGAAUUUAUCCUCCAUGUUAAAUGGGCUGGAUUGCUUUGAGUUUC
This is a long non-coding RNA of Nicotiana tabacum (common tobacco), 837 nucleotides long. RefSeq lists it as uncharacterized. NCBI's taxonomy places the organism in Eukaryota, Viridiplantae, Streptophyta, Magnoliopsida, Solanales, Solanaceae. The record is from RefSeq and is a predicted model, not a curated record.